UAGGGAAUAUUGGACAAUGGGGGCAACCCUGAUCCAGCCAUGCCGCGUGAGUGAAGAAGGCCCUCGGGUUGUAAAGCUCUUUUGUCCGGAAAGAAAAGCUUCGGGUUAAUACCCCGGGGUUCUGACGGUACCGACAGAAAAAGCACCGGCUAACUACGUGCCAGCAGCCGCGGUAAUACGUAGGGUGCGCGCGUUAAUCGGAAUUACUGGGCGUAAAGGGUGAGCAGGCGGUCUUGCAAGUCAGAUGUGAAAGCCCCGGGCUUAACCUGGGAAUUGCGUUUGAAACUACAAGACUAAAGUGCAGCAGAGGGGAGUCGAAUUCCAUGUGUCGCAGUGAAAUGCGUGGAGAUGUGGAAGAAUACCGAUGGCGAAGGCAGCUCCCUGGGUUGACACUGACGCUCAUGCACGAAAGCGUGGGGAGCAAACA
Molecule: ribosomal RNA, 427 nt
Filed under: uncultured bacterium
Lineage: Bacteria
Description: bacterial SSU rRNA
Rfam family: Bacterial small subunit ribosomal RNA
Source: RNAcentral